Molecule: ribosomal RNA, 696 nt
Filed under: Triticum aestivum (bread wheat)
Lineage: Eukaryota; Viridiplantae; Streptophyta; Magnoliopsida; Poales; Poaceae
Description: partial small subunit ribosomal RNA
Source: RNAcentral
AUGGCCUGUGGUUUCUUUCUUUCUCAGGAAAGAUAUGUGGAGGAGCUUCUUGAUCGUGCUGCUAUGUCCAAUUGUAAGCCCGUCUUCACGCCUGUUGACACAAAACCCAAGGUCUCCUCUUCCGCUAGUGAACUUGUGUCCGAUGCCACCUUCUACAGAAGUAUUGCUGGUGCUAUUCAAUACCUCACCUUGACACGUCCAGACAUCGCCAGUACUUCUCACGAGCUUAGGAUCGCCGGCAGUUCCUCCAUUGCAAUUGCUGCUUAUUCGGAUGCUGACUGGGCUGGCUGUCCAGACACUCGUCGGUCUACUUCAGGAUAUUGCAUUUAUCUCGGCGACACUUUGGUGUCUUGGUCCUCCAAACGCCAACCUACUGUCUCUCGCUCGAGUGCUGAGGCCGAAUACCGUGCGGUGGCUAACACCGUGGCUGAAUGUUGCUGGCUUCGUCAACUUCUUGUCGAGCUCCAUUGUGUCAUUGACAAGGCUUCUGUGGUGUUCUGUGAUAAUAUAUCUGUGGUAUACCUCUCUGCUAACCCCGUUCAUCAUUGUUGGAUGAAGCAUAUUGAGUUGGACAUUCAUUUUGUAUGCGAGAAGGUGGCUUUGGGACAGUUUCGUGUUGUUCACAUCCCAACGACUCAUCAACUUGCAGACAUCAUGACUAAGGGGCUUCCUUUGUCUUCAUUCAAAGCUUUUUGA